RNAcentral lists this transfer RNA (65 nucleotides) under Alteromonas sp. Mex14. RNAcentral describes it as "tRNA-Met". It matches the Rfam family "tRNA", at positions 1 to 57 of the family's 71-position model. From Rfam's summary of the family: Transfer RNA (tRNA) molecules are approximately 80 nucleotides in length. Their secondary structure includes four short double-helical elements and three loops (D, anti-codon, and T loops). The record is from RNAcentral. Lineage: Bacteria; Pseudomonadati; Pseudomonadota; Gammaproteobacteria; Alteromonadales; Alteromonadaceae.
GGCUACGUAGCUCAGUUGGUUAGAGCACAUCACUCAUAAUGAUGGGGUCCUAAUAUAGGUUGACA